This 253-nucleotide ribosomal RNA is filed under the name uncultured bacterium. RNAcentral's name for it is "partial 16S ribosomal RNA". It matches the Rfam family "Bacterial small subunit ribosomal RNA", at positions 524 to 776 of the family's 1533-position model. The record is from RNAcentral.
UACAGAGGUCUCAAGCGUUGUUCGGAUUCAUUGGGCGUAAAGGGUGCGUAGGCGGCGCGGUAAGUCGGGUGUGAAAUCUCGGAGCUUAACUUCGAAACUGCAUUCGAUACUGCCGUGCUUGAGGACUGGAGAGGAGACUGGAAUUUACGGUGUAGCGGUGAAAUGCGUAGAUAUCGUAAGGAAGACCAGUGGCGAAGGCGAAUCUCUGGACAAUUCCUGACACUGAUGCUCGAAAGCUAGGGGAGCAAACGGG